CAGCUUCACCUGUCUACCAACAAGCUGGAGACCUGGAAGAGGUGGUUGUUGAGAUGAACAGCAGCCUUCGGACAAAAGCUGGAAGUCCAGCUUCACCUGUCUACCAACAAGCUGGAGACCUGGA
Molecule: long non-coding RNA, 124 nt
Organism: Pecten maximus
Lineage: Eukaryota; Metazoa; Mollusca; Bivalvia; Pectinida; Pectinidae
Exons: 3
Source: RefSeq, a predicted model, not a curated record